RNAcentral lists this ribosomal RNA (495 nucleotides) under uncultured bacterium. RNAcentral describes it as "bacterial SSU rRNA". It matches the Rfam family "Bacterial small subunit ribosomal RNA", at positions 18 to 509 of the family's 1533-position model. The record is from RNAcentral.
CCUGGCUCAGGAUGAACGCUGGCGGCGUGCCUAAUACAUGCAAGUCGAGCGAGAAUCAGUGGAACGGAGAUUUCGUCGAAGUGAAACUGAGGAAAGCGGCGGACGGGUGAGUAACGCGUAGGCAACCUGCCCUCAGCAGAGGGAUAGCCAUUGGAAACGAUGAUUAAAACCUCAUAAUGCAUCGAAGACACAUGUCUAUGAUGCCGAAAGAUUUAUCGGCUGGGGAUGGGCCUGCGUCUGAUUAACUAGUUGGUGGGGUAACGGCGUCACCAGGUAACGAUCCAGUAGCCGACCUGAGAGGGUGAUCGGCCACAUUGGAACUGAGACACGGUCCAAACUUCUACGGAAGGCAGCAGUAAGGAAUCUUGCACAAUGGGGGAAACCCUGAUGCAGCAACGCCGCGUGAACGAUGAAGGCCUUAGGGUUGUAAAGUUCUGAUCUGGGGAAGUAAGAAAGUGACGGUACCCCAGGAGAAAGCCCGGCUAAAUACGUGCC